This 253-nucleotide ribosomal RNA is filed under the name uncultured bacterium. Its description in RNAcentral is "partial 16S ribosomal RNA". It matches the Rfam family "Bacterial small subunit ribosomal RNA", at positions 524 to 776 of the family's 1533-position model. The record is from RNAcentral.
UACGGGGGGGGCAAGCGUUGUUCGGAAUUACUGGGCGUAAAGGGCGCGUAGGCGGUCCGCUAAGUUGGAUGUGAAAACUCUGGGCUUAACCCAGAGCCUGCAUUCGAAACUGACGGGCUGGAGUUCUGGAGGGGAUAGCGGAAUUCCUGGUGUAGCGGUGAAAUGCGUAGAUAUCAGGAGGAACACCGGUGGCGAAGGCGGCUAUCUGGACAGAAACUGACGCUGAGGCGCGAAAGCUAGGGGAGCAAACAGG